Molecule: ribosomal RNA, 122 nt
Filed under: Helianthus annuus (common sunflower)
Lineage: Eukaryota; Viridiplantae; Streptophyta; Magnoliopsida; Asterales; Asteraceae
Source: RNAcentral
UUUGGUGGUAGUAGAAGGCGGAUGUUAUGCAGUGGAUCUCAUCAGAACUCCACAAUUAAGGGUGCUAAGCUAAGAGUAGUACCUAGAUUGCUGACCUUCUAGAAAAUCUUAAACCAUAUAAC